Molecule: ribosomal RNA, 520 nt
Filed under: uncultured Glomus
Lineage: Eukaryota; Fungi; Glomeromycota; Glomeromycetes; Glomerales; Glomeraceae
Description: SSU rRNA
Rfam family: Eukaryotic small subunit ribosomal RNA
Source: RNAcentral
AGCAGCCGCGGUAAUUCCAGCUCCAAUAGCGUAUAUUAAGGUUGUUGCAGUUAAAAAACUCGUAGUUGAAUUUCGGGAUCAAAGGAUCGGUCAUGCCUUGGUAUGUACUGGUUUUAUUGGUUCUCACCUUCUAAAGAACCAUAAUGUCAUUCAUUUGAUGUUAUGGGGAAUUAGGGCUGUUACCUUGAAAAAAUUUAGAGUGUUUAAAGCAGGCUUACGCUUGAAUACAUUAGCAUGGAAUAAUGAAAUAGGACAUCAGAUUCUAUUUUGUUGGUUUCUAGGAUCGAUGUAAUGAUUAAUAGGGAUAGUUGGGGGCAUUAGUAUUCAAUUGUCAGAGGUGAAAUUCUUGGAUUUAUUGAAGACUAACUACUGCGAAAGCAUUUGCCAAGGAUGUUUUCAUUAAUCAAGAACGAAAGUUAGGGGAUCGAAGACGAUCAGAUACCGUCGUAGUCUUAACCAUAAACUAUGCCGACUAGGGAUCGGAUGAUGUUAAUUUUAUAAUGACUCAUUCGGCACCUUA